AGUGAACGCCGGCGGUAGGCCUAACACAUGCAAGUCGAACGGCAGCACAGUAAGAGCUUGCUCUUACGGGUGGCGAGUGGCGGACGGGUGAGGAAUACAUCGGAAUCUACUUUUUCGUGGGGGAUAACGUAGGGAAACUUACGCUAAUACCGCAUACGACCUACGGGUGAAAGCAGGGGAUCUUCGGACCUUGCGCGAUUGAAUGAGCCGAUGUCGGAUUAGCUAGUUGGCGGGGUAAAGGCCCACCAAGGCGACGAUCCGUAGCUGGUCUGAGAGGAUGAUAAGCCACACUGGAACUGAGACACGGUCCAGACUCCUACGGGAGGCAGCAGUGGGGAAUAUUGGACAAUGGGCGCAAGCCUGAUCCAGCCAUACCGCGUGGGUGAAGAAGGCCUUCGGGUUGUAAAGCCCUUUUGUUGGGAAAGAAAAGCAGCAGGUUAAUACCCCGCUGUUCUGACGGUACCCAAAGAAUAAGCACCGGCUAACUUCGUG
This 492-nucleotide ribosomal RNA is filed under the name uncultured bacterium. Its description in RNAcentral is "partial 16S ribosomal RNA". It matches the Rfam family "Bacterial small subunit ribosomal RNA", at positions 29 to 507 of the family's 1533-position model. The record is from RNAcentral.